This 73-nucleotide transfer RNA is filed under the name Cricetulus griseus (Chinese hamster). It matches the Rfam family "tRNA". From Rfam's summary of the family: Transfer RNA (tRNA) molecules are approximately 80 nucleotides in length. Their secondary structure includes four short double-helical elements and three loops (D, anti-codon, and T loops). The record is from Rfam by way of RNAcentral. Lineage: Eukaryota; Metazoa; Chordata; Mammalia; Rodentia; Cricetidae.
UGAGGUGUAGCUCAGUUGGUAGAGUGCCAGACUUGCAUUCACGAAACCCUGGGUUCACUCUCCAGCAUUGCAG